Molecule: transfer RNA, 73 nt
Filed under: Phycisphaeraceae bacterium
Lineage: Bacteria; Pseudomonadati; Planctomycetota; Phycisphaerae; Phycisphaerales; Phycisphaeraceae
Also listed under: 1 other name
Description: tRNA-Trp
Rfam family: tRNA
About the family: Transfer RNA (tRNA) molecules are approximately 80 nucleotides in length.
Source: RNAcentral
ACGGCGGUAGCUCAGCUGGUAGAGCAGUGGAUUCCAAAUCCACCGGUCGAGGGUUCGAAUCCUUCCCGCCGUG